CACUAUCGUUAACUGAAUACAUAGGUUAACGAGGCGAACCGGGGGAACUGAAACAUCUAAGUACCCCGAGGAAAAGAAAUCAACCGAGAUUCCCCCAGUAGCGGCGAGCGAACGGGGAGCAGCCCAGAGUCUGAAUCAGCUUGUGUGUUAGUGGAAGCGUCUGGAAAGUCGCACGGUACAGGGUGAAAGUCCCGUACACGAAAAUGCACAGGCUGUGAACUCGAAGAGUAGGGCGGGACACGUGGUAUCCUGUCUGAAUAUGGGGGGACCAUCCUCCAAGGCUAAAUACUCCUGACUGACCGAUAGUGAACCAGUACCGUGAGGGAAAGGCGAAAAGAACCCCGGCGAGGGGAGUGAAAAAGAACCUGAAACCGUGUACGUACAAGCAGUGGGAGCACCUUCGUGGUGUGACUGCGUACCUUUUGUAUAAUGGGUCAGCGACUUAUAUUCUGUAGCAAGGUUAACCGUAUAGGGGAGCCGAAGGGAAACCGAGUCUUAACUGGGCGUUAAGUUGCAGGGUAUAGACCCGAAACCCGGUGAUCUAGCCAUGGGCAGGUUGAAGGUUGGGUAACACUAACUGGAGGACCGAACCGACUAAUGUUGAAAAAUUAGCGGAUGACCUGUGGCUGGGGGUGAAAGGCCAAUCAAACCGGGAGAUAGCUGGUUCUCCCCGAAAGCUAUUUAGGUAGCGCCUCGUGAACUCAUCUUCGGGGGUAGAGCACUGUUUCGGCUAGGGGGCCAUCCCGGCUUACCAACCCGAUGCAAACUACGAAUACCGAAGAAUGUUAUCACGGGAGACACACGGCGGGUGCUAACGUCCGUCGUGAAGAGGGAAACAACCCAGACCGCCAGCUAAGGUCCCAAAGUCAUGGUUAAGUGGGAAACGAUGUGGGAAGGCCCAGACAGCCAGGAUGUUGGCUUAGAAGCAGCCAUCAUUUAAAGAAAGCGUAAUAGCUCACUGGUCGAGUCGGCCUGCGCGGAAGAUGUAACGGGGCUAAACCAUGCACCGAAGCUGCGGCAGCGAC
Molecule: ribosomal RNA, 1025 nt
Filed under: Enterobacter sp. SENG-6
Lineage: Bacteria; Pseudomonadati; Pseudomonadota; Gammaproteobacteria; Enterobacterales; Enterobacteriaceae
Description: bacterial LSU rRNA
Rfam family: Bacterial large subunit ribosomal RNA
Source: RNAcentral